UCUUAGGGUAUUCAAAUCAACGAUCCACACCGUUAAAACUGAUUUAGCGUAUUUAAAGUUUUUAGAAAUAAAAUUUUAUAUUUUUUCGACAUAGUUUACUUUAUGAUCAAAUAAUUUCAAAAUUGUCAAUUUUCAAUGGCUACUAUGGCGAGUUUGGAGUUUAACAGUGUAGAAGAAUCUAAAUUUCUUCAAAUUUUGAUAGAAAAUAUUUUAAACUAUCUAAAUUAAGGUUAAUAUUCUUGAUCUUGAAUUUAAAAAUUCUAUGCUCAAAUUUUAAAGAUUCUUCAAUUUCUACCGUCCAUUUUGACAUAAUUUAUUUACUAAAUAAACGAUGUUGAAAAAAACUAAAAUUUUAUUCCUAAGAACUUCAUAUACCCUAAAUCAUAUUUAAAAGUGUGAAUCGUUAAUUUGAACACCCUAAGAUCGAAAACAAUACUUAGUACCGGACCGACCGUCGCUAGAGCAAGUGGCAAAGGGCUUGGUGGUUGGUACCCAAGACCCAAGUUCGAAUAUUAGUUGAUUCACAUUUCUAGCUAAGUUUAUUUCUAAAUGAAAUAAACGAAGCGGGUAGCGUGCUACCUAUAUCUAAAAAAACAAAAAAAACAAAAAAAAAACAAAAAAAACUAUAGUACCGGAGCUCCGGUACUAUAGAUAGUAUAGUAGCCUAAUUCUAUAUAUAUAUAUAUAUAUAUAUAUAUAUAUAUAUAUA
Molecule: long non-coding RNA, 709 nt
Filed under: Ananas comosus (pineapple)
Lineage: Eukaryota; Viridiplantae; Streptophyta; Magnoliopsida; Poales; Bromeliaceae
Description: long non-coding RNA (ACOM_LNC018800)
Source: RNAcentral